RNAcentral lists this ribosomal RNA (429 nucleotides) under Bacteroidota bacterium. RNAcentral describes it as "Bacteroidetes bacterium partial 16S ribosomal RNA". It matches the Rfam family "Bacterial small subunit ribosomal RNA", at positions 355 to 776 of the family's 1533-position model. Lineage: Bacteria; Pseudomonadati; Bacteroidota. The record is from RNAcentral.
UAGGGAAUCUUCCGCAAUGGACGCAAGUCUGACGGAGCAACGCCGCGUGAGUGAAGAAGGAUUUCGGUUCGUAAAACUCUGUUGUUAGAGAAGAACAGCGCAUAGAGUAACUGUUAUGCGUGUGACGGUAUCUAACCAGAAAGCCACGGCUAACUACGUGCCAGCAGCCGCGGUAAUACGUAGGUGGCAAGCGUUGUCCGGAUUUAUUGGGCGUAAAGCGAGCGCAGGCGGUCAAUUAAGUCUGAUGUGAAAGCCCCCGGCUCAACCGGGGAGGGUCAUUGGAAACUGGUUGACUUGAGUGCAGAAGAGGAGAGUGGAAUUCCAUGUGUAGCGGUGAAAUGCGUAGAUAUAUGGAGGAACACCAGUGGCGAAGGCAACUCUCUGGUCUGUAACUGACGCUGAGGUUCGAAAGCGUGGGUAGCAAACAGG